UAUUUUAAUUUCGGAAGCGGGUCUGAAGUACAGUUAUAAUUGGAGUAGAGCGUAGAAAGAACUAAAAAGUAUCCUUUCUUUGUUGUGUGUUUGGAGGGAGCUAAGCAGCAUGAAGAGCACAGAGGAUAUAUCAUAUGUUAACCAGCAAGAAGCCAUAGAAAUUGAUCAGAUGUUGAUGGGUCCUCUUGGUUUUACUGUUGAUCAGCUCAUGGAAUUGGCAGGCUUGACUGUUGCCUCUGCAAUUGGAGAGGUCUAUAGUUCAAGUGAAUAUACUCGCGUGCUUGUUAUAUGUGGUCCUGGUAACAAUGGUGGGGAUGGUCUUGUAGCUGCUCGACACUUACAUCACUUUGGUUAUAAGCCCUCCAUUUGUUAUCCAAAACGGAAUACCGAACCUCCCUUUGCUGGUUUAGUUACCCAGCUUGAGUCACUGUCAGUUCCAUUCUUGCCAGUGGAAGAUCUACCCGUGCAGCUUUCAAGUGACUUUGAAAUUAUAGUGGAUGCAAUUUUUGGAUUCUCAUUCCAUGGUAACCCAAGGCCACCGUUUGAUAGUCUCAUUAGAAGGCUGGUCUCCAUACAAAACCAGCAGCGCACACAUGAAAAAGCAGCUGUCAUUAUAUCUGUAGACAUACCUUCCGGGUGGCACGUGGUAGAGGGAGACAUUUGUGGUGAAGGCAUUGAACCUGAUAUGCUGGUCUCUUUGACUGCUCCAAAAUUGUGUGCCAAAAUGUUUUGUGGCCUGCAUCAUUUUUUGGGUGGAAGAUUUGUUCCACAAUCCAUCAUAGACAAAUUCAAGUUAAAACUUCCACCAUAUCCCGGCACUUCCAUGUGUGUUCGAAUUGGAAAUUUUCCAGAAACCAAUUCAUCAGCACAGAAAGGGAUAUUUACGGCUUCUGUAAAUCUUGAGGUGGAGGAAAAUCCUAUUGAUCAGGUUGAGUUGUAUAAAUUUCAAAAGUGGCUUGGUGAUGCAUCGGAAGCUGGUGUCAAAGAACCCCAUUAUAUGGUCCUAUCGACAGCUGGUAAAGAUGCAAAACCUUCAUCGCGAAUGGUAUCAUUGGAAGGAGUAAACAAAGAUGGUUUUGUCUGGCACACCAACUAUAGGAGUCGAAAGGCUCGUGAAAUUUCUGAAAAUCCUCAUGCAUCACUUCUCUUUUACUGGGGUCCUAUAAAAUGCCAGGUAAGAGUGGAGGGAUUUGUGGAGCAAGUUUCUGAUGAGGAAUCUGAACGAUACUUCUCUAGUCUUCCUCUAGAUAUCCAGAUUAGACCAAUAGUUAGCAAGCAGCUAGUUUCCAAUCUCUUCUGCAAGUUCAGAGCACACUGAUUCAUGGACGAGAGAUUCUCCAUCAUCAGUACAAAGAAUUCGAGGAGAAGUACCAUGACAGUAUUCCAUCUGUGCCUAGCAGAAGUAUUCUAUUGGUUGGGAUACAGUUAAGAUGCAUUUCAGUUAUGUGAUUGUUGUCCCAUACUUAGAAUUAGUGGAUAUCAUUUUAGCAUUUAUAAUAUUUAGAUCGAAUUCUUCAACAGUUGCUUCUCAUUGUUCGAACAUGUAAAAGACGUAACUUUUGUGUAUGCAUUCUUGGAAAAAUGUCUGACCAAGACUUGUUGAUUACAACCUAAUCAUACUUUGUUUUUCCUUUCUCUAAAGAAAAGUUGUUUUUUAGUCUAGAUUCAAGUGAACCUCAAAGCAAUCCUUUUCCCCUAACAUGCAGAACUUCAAUAGCAAGACCCAAACACUGGGGUGGCUACAGGCUUAUUCCAGAAUUUUUUGAGUUUUGGCAGGGAGAGGAAUCUCAAGUUCACCUCAAAUUUCGGUACUGUGUGGAGGAGAUUGAUGGAAGAAGAGUAUGGACAAUUCAUAGAUUGGUCCCACAGUUGGCAGAAUCAGCAUCAUCAUUGUGACUUGCCAUCUCUUUGAACUUAGCAAUAAUGCACCAGUGCAUGCAUAUGAUAGGAAGCUAGCAAUUAGAUCUUUUCUUUUCCUGUUUUCCCUUCUGAUUACCUUCUUUGGGUAGGACAUUGCACUUGGGAGGUGAUAUAAUAUUUCUGAGGGUGUGCAUAUGUAUUGCCAGAAAUUGUUUACUUGCUCGUUAUCUCUUUGUAAGUAUCUCUGCGCUGAUUUGCAUAGUAUAUCUCUUCUAGUUCUGUUUCA
RNA transcript from Solanum pennellii, 2146 nucleotides. It is a transcript of the gene named pyridoxine/pyridoxamine 5'-phosphate oxidase 1, chloroplastic-like, with no coding region annotated. The record is from RefSeq and is a predicted model, not a curated record. The transcript has 13 exons. NCBI's taxonomy places the organism in Eukaryota, Viridiplantae, Streptophyta, Magnoliopsida, Solanales, Solanaceae.